UCGGGAAUUUUGGGCAAUGGGCGAAAGCCUGACCCAGCAACGCCGCGUGAGGGAUGAAGUAUUUCGGUAUGUAAACCUCGAAAGAAUGGGAAGAAUAAAUGACGGUACCAUUUAUAAGCUCCGGCUAACUACGUGCCAGCAGCCGCGGUAAUACGUAGGGAGCAAGCGUUGUUCGGAUUUACUGGGCGUAAAGGGCGCGUAGGCGGCGCGGUAAGUCACUUGUGAAAUCUCUGAGCUUAACUCAGAACGGCCAAGUGAUACUGCUGUGCUAGAGGGCGGAAGAGGCAACUGGAAUUCUUGGUGUAGCGGUGAAAUGCGUAGAUAUCAAGAGGAACACCUGAGGCGAAGGCGGGUUGCUGGGCCGACACUGACGCUGAGGCGCGAAAGCGUGGGGAGCAAACA
This 402-nucleotide ribosomal RNA is filed under the name uncultured bacterium. Its description in RNAcentral is "bacterial SSU rRNA". It matches the Rfam family "Bacterial small subunit ribosomal RNA", at positions 355 to 774 of the family's 1533-position model. The record is from RNAcentral.